ACAUGCCCCGAACUCAAGGAUAGCCCUCCGAAAGGAGGGGUAAUCCUGGAUAGUCCCGCAAGGGUAAAGCUUUAUGCGGUUCGGGAGUGGCCUUAUGCCUAUCAGCUAGUUGGUAAGGUAAUGGCUUACCAAGGCGAUGACGGGUAGCUGGCCUGAGAGGGUGACCAGCCUCGAUGGGACUGAGACACGGCCCAUACUCCUACGGGAGGCAGCAGUUGGGAAUUUUGCACAAUGGAGGCAACUCUGAUGCAGCAACACUGCGUGAAGGAAGAAGGUUUUCGGAUCGUAAACUUCUUUUAUCUGGGAAUAAUCAUGAAGGUACCAGAUGAAUAAGCACCGGCUAACUACGUGCCAGCAGCCGCGGUAAUACGUAGGGUGCAAACGUUAUCCGGAUUUACUGGGCGUAAAGAGCUCGUAGGUGGUCUUUUAAGU
This 432-nucleotide ribosomal RNA is filed under the name uncultured bacterium. Its description in RNAcentral is "bacterial SSU rRNA". It matches the Rfam family "Bacterial small subunit ribosomal RNA", at positions 124 to 588 of the family's 1533-position model. The record is from RNAcentral.